This 675-nucleotide ribosomal RNA is filed under the name Acinetobacter sp. RNAcentral's name for it is "bacterial SSU rRNA". It matches the Rfam family "Bacterial small subunit ribosomal RNA", at positions 77 to 747 of the family's 1533-position model. Lineage: Bacteria; Pseudomonadati; Pseudomonadota; Gammaproteobacteria; Moraxellales; Moraxellaceae. The record is from RNAcentral.
UGCUUGCACCUUAUCUUAGCGGCGGACGGGUGAGUAAUGCUUAGGAAUCUGCCUAUUAGUGGGGGACAACAUUCCGAAAGGAAUGCUAAUACCGCAUACGCCCUACGGGGGAAAGCAGGGGAUCUUCGGACCUUGCGCUAAUAGAUGAGCCUAAGUCGGAUUAGCUAGUUGGUGGGGUAAAGGCCUACCAAGGCGACGAUCUGUAGCGGGUCUGAGAGGAUGAUCCGCCACACUGGGACUGAGACACGGCCCAGACUCCUACGGGAGGCAGCAGUGGGGAAUAUUGGACAAUGGGCGGAAGCCUGAUCCAGCCAUGCCGCGUGUGUGAAGAAGGCCUUUUGGUUGUAAAGCACUUUAAGCGAGGAGGAGGCUACUUAGAUUAAUACUCUAGGAUAGUGGACGUUACUCGCAGAAUAAGCACCGGCUAACUCUGUGCCAGCAGCCGCGGUAAUACAGAGGGUGCGAGCGUUAAUCGGAUUUACUGGGCGUAAAGCGUGCGUAGGCGGCUGAUUAAGUCGGAUGUGAAAUCCCUGAGCUUAACUUAGGAAUUGCAUUCGAUACUGGUCAGCUAGAGUAUGGGAGAGGAUGGUAGAAUUCCAGGUGUAGCGGUGAAAUGCGUAGAGAUCUGGAGGAAUACCGAUGGCGAAGGCAGCCAUCUGGCCUAAUACUGACGCU